GACGAACGCUGGCGGCGUGCCUAAUACAUGCAAGUUGAGCGCUGAAGGUUGGUACUUGUACCGACUGGAUGAGCAGCGAACGGGUGAGUAACGCGUGGGGAAUCUGCCUUUGAGCGGGGGACAACAUUUGGAAACGAAUGCUAAUACCGCAUAAAAACUUUAAACACAAGUUUUAAGUUUGAAAGAUGCAAUUGCACCACUCAAAGAUGAUCCCGCGUUGUAUUAGCUAGUUGGUGAGGUAAAGGCUCACCAAGGCGAUGAUACAUAGCCGACCUGAGAGGGUGAUCGGCCACAUUGGGACUGAGACACGGCCCAAACUCCUACGGGAGGCAGCAGUAGGGAAUCUUCGGCAAUGGACGAAAGUCUGACCGAGCAACGCCGCGUGAGUGAAGAAGGUUUUCGGAUCGUAAAACUCUGUUGGUAGAGAAGAACGUUGGUGAGAGUGGAAAGCUCAUCAAGUGACGGUAACUACCCAGAAAGGGACGGCUAACUACGUG
This 497-nucleotide ribosomal RNA is filed under the name uncultured bacterium. RNAcentral's name for it is "partial 16S ribosomal RNA". It matches the Rfam family "Bacterial small subunit ribosomal RNA", at positions 28 to 507 of the family's 1533-position model. The record is from RNAcentral.